UCACACCAAAAUCUCCGGCGAUCAAUUGAAACAACCAUGUUCGGUGACAUCCGCAGUUCCCAGUUGUCGGAGAUUAUCAAAUUGAAAGAUGAAUCUGAUUUCGAGAAGCUUCUCUCAUUAGGUAAUCAGAUCUCCGUAACAUGCUUCGGUUCUCUUCUCUCCGGUGCGUACACUUCCUCACUCGUUUUGUGUGUCAUUUGAAUCAUCGAGACCCAAAUUCUGGAUCGACCUGUUCAGCUUUCUUGAGUUGUUCCCGAAUCUACUUGGUAUGUGAUGAAGUCUUGACACUGAGACCGCAAGUUGGUACUCAAGGUUACUAAUAACAAAGAGUGUCUCAAGGUCAAGACAGACCAAGCACAAAGAAGCAACGAAGAUGGAUUCCAUAGCUUUAAGAAGUGUGUUGACAUUACAUAGAACCAUAUUUCUUUAUUUGUUGUUAGACAUGUAUGAUGGUUGUGAUACAUUUUUAUAUUGUUUGGGUACUUUUACGAUGUUUCUGCACUA
Long non-coding RNA from Camelina sativa (false flax), 504 nucleotides. RefSeq lists it as uncharacterized. NCBI's taxonomy places the organism in Eukaryota, Viridiplantae, Streptophyta, Magnoliopsida, Brassicales, Brassicaceae. The record is from RefSeq and is a predicted model, not a curated record.